CCCUCUGGACUCAAAACUUUGCUCUAGGCAGAGCUAUAUGAUGAUUACUACACUACUGAAAAGGUGUCCUCAUUUUUUAUAGAUGUUUCCAUGUGUUAUGAUCUGAUUAUGGAGAGAUGCCUCUGUCUGAAUUAAGAUCUAAGUCACUCAAACUCCACCUGAUCAUGAAUGACAUCAAGUGAAAUUUUAUCUUUUCCUCAUCCUCAAAGAAAAUAAUAUGAAUAUAACCAAAGAGGGGACUGGAAUCAGAGGAGACUCCACUUUUGCAUCCUUGGACAAAGGGCUGUACCCAUCUCUUCCCCAUAGGAACACCUAUCAGUUUAAGUGCAGCUGUCAACCAAGUACCACACAGCCACUUGCUCACUUUCCCCUGAUAGAAUGAGGGACAGAAUCAGAAGAGUGAAAGUGAGAG
Lepidothrix coronata (blue-crowned manakin) is the source of this 412-nucleotide long non-coding RNA. RefSeq lists it as uncharacterized. Lineage: Eukaryota; Metazoa; Chordata; Aves; Passeriformes; Pipridae. The record is from RefSeq and is a predicted model, not a curated record. The transcript has 3 exons.